UGGGGAAUUUUGGACAAUGGGCGAAAGCCUGAUCCAGCAAUGCCGCGUGCAGGAUGAAGGCCUUCGGGUUGUAAACUGCUUUUGUACGGAACGAAAAAGCUUCUCCUAAUACGAGAGGCCCAUGACGGUACCGUAGAAUAAGCACCGGCUAACUACGUGCCAGCAGCCGCGGUAAUACGUAGGGUGCGAGCGUUAAUCGGAAUUACUGGGCGUAAAGCGUGCGCAGGCGGUUAUGUAAGACAGAUGUGAAAUCCCCGGGCUCAACCUGGGAACUGCAUUUGUGACUGUAUAGCUAGAGUACGGUAGAGGAGGAUGGUAUUCCGCGUGUAGCAGUGAAAUGCGUAGAUAUGCGGAGGAACACCGAUGGCGAAGGCAAUCCCCUGGACCUGUACUGACGCUCAUGCACGAAAGCGUGGGGAGCAAACA
Molecule: ribosomal RNA, 426 nt
Filed under: uncultured bacterium
Lineage: Bacteria
Description: bacterial SSU rRNA
Rfam family: Bacterial small subunit ribosomal RNA
Source: RNAcentral